GAGUUUGAUCAUGGCUCAGAACGAACGCUGGCGGCAGGCCUAACACAUGCAAGUCGAGCGCACCUUCGGGUGAGCGGCGGACGGGUUAGUAACGCGUGGGAAUAUACCCAAAGGUACGGAAUAGCCUCGGGAAACUGAGAGUAAUACCGUAUGUGCCCUUCGGGGGAAAGAUUUAUCGCCUUUGGAUUAGCCCGCGUAAGAUUAGAUAGUUGGUGGGGUAAUGGCCUACCAAGUCUACGAUCUUUAGCUGGUUUGAGAGGAUGAUCAGCAACACUGGGACUGAGACACGGCCCAGACUCCUACGGGAGGCAGCAGUGGGGAAUCUUAGACAAUGGGCGAAAGCCUGAUCUAGCCAUGCCGCGUGAGUGACGAAGGCCUUAGGGUCGAAAG
RNAcentral lists this ribosomal RNA (390 nucleotides) under uncultured Alphaproteobacteria bacterium. RNAcentral describes it as "bacterial SSU rRNA". It matches the Rfam family "Bacterial small subunit ribosomal RNA", at positions 9 to 429 of the family's 1533-position model. The record is from RNAcentral. Lineage: Bacteria; Pseudomonadati; Pseudomonadota; Alphaproteobacteria.